UGCNNUCGAACGAUGAAGCCCAGCUUGCUGGGUGGAUUAGUGGCGAACGGGUGAGUAACACGUGAGUAACCUGCCCUUAACUCUGGGAUAAGCCUGGGAAACURGGUCUAAUACCGGAUAGGAGCGYCYACCGCAUGGUGGGUGUUGGAAAGAUUUAUCGGUUUUGGAUGGACUCGCGGCCUAUCAGCUUGUUGGUGAGGUAAUGGCUCACCAAGGCGACGACGGGUAGCCGGCCUGAGAGGGUGACCGGCCACACUGGGACUGAGACACGGCCCAGACUCCUACGGGAGGCAGCAGUGGGGAAUAUUGCACAAUGGGCGMAAGCCUGAUGCAGCGACGCCGCGUGAGGGAUGACGGCCUUCGGGUUGUAAACCUCUUUCAGUAGGGAAGAAGCGAAAGUGACGGUACCUGCAGAAGAAGCACCGGCUAACUACGUGCCAGCAGCCGCGGUAAUACGUAGGGUGCGAGCGUUAUCCGGAAUUAUUGGGCGUAAAGAGCUCGUAGGCGGUUUGUCGCGUCUGUCGUGAAAGUCCGGGGCUUAACCCCGGAUCUGCGGUGGGUACGGGCAGACUAGAGUGCAGUAGGGGAGACUGGAAUUCCUGGUGUAGCGGUGAAANUGCGUAGAA
This 626-nucleotide ribosomal RNA is filed under the name bacterium EK-A20. RNAcentral's name for it is "bacterial SSU rRNA". It matches the Rfam family "Bacterial small subunit ribosomal RNA", at positions 56 to 695 of the family's 1533-position model. The record is from RNAcentral.